Molecule: unclassified non-coding RNA, 8444 nt
Filed under: Daphnia pulex (common water flea)
Lineage: Eukaryota; Metazoa; Arthropoda; Branchiopoda; Diplostraca; Daphniidae
Description: broad-complex core protein isoforms 1/2/3/4/5-like, transcript variant X3
Source: RNAcentral
GCCCGUCAACGUUUCGUUCACUAAGCCAACAGACGGCAGCGUGUAAUGAUGUAAUACAGUGACACCUGGUGGUAGAAGAUUUUUUUUAUUUUUCACACUCGAGCCUGGUCAAACUGAAACACCAAAACAUUUUCAACACUCGGACCAAUUGGUUCGGCAAUUUUGAUUUUAAUCGGUGUGUGACUCAUUUUCUACUCAAUCGUGUCGUGUGUGUGUGACAGCAUUUGUGAGUGGGUGGAAAAAUUUAAACUAAAUCAGUAGUUUUCUCUGCUCACAACUUGUUAAAACUAUUUUCAAAAAAAAGACAAUUCGGUCUCUCCCGAACGACGAUGACAUCCGCAUGUCUGCUGCUACUCGACUAACGCUGAUGUACGACAGCAGACAACACUGCGCGCCACCUUACACCGACAACGUGCACGACGCUGCAUCUGCUGCCCGGUUGGUGAAUCGCCACCAAUCCGACAAAAGGAACGUUGUGAGUGGAGUUUUGGAAGGUGGAUCGAGCAGAACGCCGGAAGAGGAAGAAGAAGAGGAAAACGAUUAUUACCAGCAUCGGAGACGGUUGCAUCUGCUGGACAAGAAGAAUCUGUCGAGUGGCCGGCGGAGUAGUAGCAGCAGCACUGUCGAGCAGCAGCGGAAUUGUUAUCCAACCGGCCAGGAGAAGAACCAAACAGCCGCCGAGGAGGAGUCGACCAACAGGACUACUCCUGGCGGGCAGGCCGGCAGUAGUAGUAGGCGGAAUCCUCCACCACCAGCAGCACCAGCAGCCGUAACAAUUCCACCUGCCGCCACAAUGUCGACCAAGAGCAUGGGUGGCGUUGGUGUUGGCCGGUCCAGCAGCAACAACAACAACAACAAUCCGACGACUGGAUUGUCGGACGACAGCCAGCAGUAUUGCCUGCGCUGGAACAAUCACCGCUCGAAUUUGCUGACGGUUUUCGAGCAGCUGCUGCAGACGGAAGCCUUUACGGACGUGACGCUGGCCGUCGGCGGGACUUCGAUCAAGUGCCACAAGAUGGUGCUGGCCGCUUGCUCGUCCUACUUCCAGUCGCUGUUCCUGGAGAACGCCUGCCCGCACCCCAUCGUCGUCUUCAAGGACAUCCAGUACGCCGAGAUCCGGGCCAUCCUCGAGUACAUGUACCGCGGUGAGGUCAACGUCGCCCAGGAGCAGCUUCCGUCGCUCCUCAAAGUGGCCGAAGCCUUGCGAGUCAAGGGGCUCUUUGAGGACGACUCGCUCAAUGCUUCCGGCGGAGACCGAGAGCCGCUCUAUCCUCCACCGGCUUCUUCCGGCCUCUUGUCCAGCACGUCGGUCAACGUCACGGCAGGUGGCGGUGGUGUCCAUCACGCCGGACCCGGCAGUCACGGUAGCAGUUCAGCCUCUCCUCCUCAGUCUACCUCAAUCAACGCUCAUCCACCCAUCAUCCGAUCUACCUCAGGUCACCAUUUGCCCGUCUCUUCCUCGUCGAGCUCAGCCGCAGCCGCCGCUUCAUCCGCAGACCGGAAUACCCCGUCACAUCGUUACCCGGGCAACGCUGCCGCCGGCGCCGGAUCGGCCGAGAACCACCACAACCAUCACCAUCAUCACCACAGUCGCAACAAGAGUCCCAGCCCGACUAGCCCGCCGGAACGAUCCAGCAGCAGCAGCCACAUUCGAGGCGAUCCGGAAUCAUCCUAUUCGCGUCAUCCAUCGUCUUAUCUCUACAAAUCGCCGCUGCUGAGCCCACAGGGGAGCGAGCAAGGCGGAAGAGAUGAUCGCCGAGAUGGCGGCAGCAGCACUACCAACCGGGAUCGCGAGAGCGCCGGAAGCGCCGGAAAUAACAAUCCGCUGAGCAUGUGGCCGCCGCUGGUGAUGCCGCUCCAUUUGGGAGCCUUUGAAACGGCCCUGCGUGAGCGCGAGCAAGCGCUGGCCCUGUACGGAGCCAUCCAGCGCGGAAGCGGUGGAUCGAACGCUGGCGGAGACGAUCGUGAACCCUCUAGCGGCAACGGACGCGGCGGCAAUGACCAUCACUUUGACAGCCGCCACAACGACAAUGGCGGAGGAGCGUCGAAGCGCAAGCGUUUAUCGAUCGCAUCCGGCGACAGCGAUCAAACUCCGUCGCUACUCCGCACCGUUCUCGGCCCCCAUCACGGCUCGUCGAAACACCACCAUCACGCCGACAUACCGGGAUUGUUUCCCUUCCGUCUGAGCGCCGCUGCCGCAGCGGCUGCAGCCGCCGAAGGAUCGGGAUCGGCCGAUGAUCGCAAUCAUUUGAGCAGUUACCUUCCCAUGGCCAUGGCUUACGCCGAGAGACAAGCUGGCCGUGAUCGCGAUCGUGCCGAUGAUGAUUGGACACAGAAUCCUGACAUGAAUUCGGAAGACGAUCCCAGCGAAAUUAGCGGCGAAUAUGGGCACCCUGUUCCCUCAUCGCCCUUGUCAGAUAAACGAGUGGACGCCUCUGGUGCUCGAAUUGCGGCUUAUGUGCCGACCCAGAAACUGGAAUGGAAACGCUACAAGCAGUACACCAACAGCGACAUCACGGCGGCCAUUGAGGCCGUCAAGAGCGGAAUGAGCGCCUUGCAGGCCUCUAGGAAAUUCAAGGUGCCGUCGCGCACUCUGUACGACAAGGUGAAGAAGCUGGGCAUCGCCACGACGCGGCCCUACAGUCGAGUGUCGUCGUCGACUUCAUCGUCGGCGGCGGCGGCGGCCAACGCGGCCGCCAAUUCGGCAGCCGCCGCUGCCGCCGCAGCCGCCGCUCUCAACGCGGCCAAUCAAAAUAAUUUCGCCGCUUCGACGGCGGCGGCCCUGACGUCGGCCAUGGCGGCCGCCGCCAUGUCGCUGGUGAAACGCGAGCGCGGACCCGUCAUCCAGGUGGCCGGAAGCAGUCGUCACGAAGCGGCAGCCGCCGCGGCCAUUGUGGCGGCCGCCGCCAGCUCUGCGGGCAAUCAGGAUCGCGAGGAGGAUUUGCCGGAAUCGAAUUGCGGUCCGGCCGACUACAGCGAGGACAGCCGCCAGGAGAGUCCGGAGAAUUUGACGAUUGGCUCGUCGAAUCUCUCGACGUCAUCGCCCGGAUCUCACGGAUCGACGACGGCACCCACGCCGUCCUCUAACGGUAAGGACAUGAUCAAGAAGGAGACGCCGGAUUCGACUCCGACGCCACCGCCGGCCCCGCCAUCGCCUCCUCCGCGCCAGAGCAGCAAAUUCAGCGCCGGGGCUCGAGUGGGCGGCGCUUAUUUCGCCGUCCGUGACGAUCUCAACUCUACGACGACGACGACGUCGUCGAUCGCCGAAGUGGUGAUGGAUGAUCGCGGCGGAAGCGCCAGUCCUAACCCCAGUACCACGUGAAUGGAGAAAACUAAAAACUAAAAACGAAACAAAAUCAUUUUAUUUUUCUUAAAUGAUUUUGAUUACACACAGAAAUUAUUCACGCCAGAAUAAUUUUGGGCUAUAAUUGACGGAAGCCACAGAGAGAGAGAAAUACGAUUGGAUUGAACGGGUCUACAACCCCCCCCCCCUUAUUUUGUUUUCUACUCCCCACCCCAAUAUGAUCCAGUCCCGAUUCAAAAAGACAAAAAACUCAGGUUUCGUGUGUCUUGGUAACGCACGUCGUAUCAUCUUCUUCUUCUUUCACUACUUCUUUUCCCAUGUCUUUUUUUGUAUGGUUGUCUGAGAGUAACAGAAAACAAGAGUUUGAGUGUGUGCGUGUGUGUCAUUUGUGUGUGUGUGUGUGUGCAAAAGUGACACACAAUGAACUCCUCCCCCCCAUUUCCCUCACGACAACUCUACCUCAGCAAAAAACCAUUUUUUUUCCCUCUUUCAAGUAAUUACGUAACAAAUAAUUACAUUUCAUUGGCUUUCCGGCACACUGCCCGGUCAUUUAUAAGACUCCCGCCAUUGUUUCAAGUUUUUAUGAGCGGGAUCGUAGAAGUUUUUUUCUUAAUUUUCUACAUAAAUAGCUCCUCCCUUCUCCCUUUCUCUUGUGCUUGUUUUUCAUUAAUUUUCUUUUUUUUUUUUUGUGGAUGGCACCGGUGAUUCAUCCCCCAUACUACUCCCAACCCGUUGAUUUUUGCUACUACUACUACUGCUGAGACUACGAUGGGUGAUAGUAGUAGUAGUAGUAGACACAGACACAAAACCAGUGACUAAAUAGAAAAGACAAACGUCUAGGGAAACAUAAAAAACCAGUUACAACACAAUUUUUGUUUUUGUUUGUUUUCGUAAUUUCGCUUUUUUGAAUUUUUGGAACAACCCAAAACCCGGUUUUAAUUUUUUUUUGCGGAAUCGAAAACAAAAAUUGGCGGUUCUGACACUUCCGGAUGCUAAUAUAAGGUUUUUAAUUUACAGACUCGUUUAAACCCCCGUGAAUCAUAAUUUUUUUUUAGUGGAAAAGAGAAAAUAGUUAGUUAGUGUGUGUGCAAUACGAGGGAAAAAUUAACAGCGUUCUUUUUUUGAAUUAAUUGUCUUUUUUUUUCCUAGUGUGUAUGAGUGUUGAUUUCUUUAUUAACAUUUUUCUUUCCUCCCAUCCUUUUUAAUUUUAAAAAAGAAAUUUUUGUGAUUGGUAAAUGUUUCAUUUUUGGGCGUCAGGCUUGUUGUUUUUCUUCAAUUUUGUUUUGGAAAUUAUUUGUUUGCUGAUUGGCAAAAAAAAACGACUUUUGAUUGGAUUUUAAAAAAUAAUUGAUUUGGCGCGAAAAUUUCAAAAUGAUUGGAAAUUCAAUUCGGUCAAAAUUGUUUACACAUACACACACAAGGUAUCGGAUUGACUUCCGAUUUCGUUUGAAAGGCCCUCCCCCCUAAGAACGAAAAAGUAGAACGUUCUUUCUUUUAUAUUUAGUAAUAUUUUAGAUACAUUUUUUUUGGUUCUUUUCUUUCUGUGAGCGAUUUCAAAAUGAUUAAGAAAAAAGAAAACACAUUUUGAAAAAAACGAUUUGGGUAUUUUCUUUAUAUUUUUUUAUCUCGGAAUUCCACACACAAAACAAUCUUCGCCUUAAUGUGUUUUCUAUAAUGUUCAGAAUCUUUGUUUUUUUUUCUCUCUCUCUCUUCAAACUCUUCCGUGUGCGUGUCUCGUGUGCGUGUCAUUGUCCAGCGUGUCAAUACUUUUCUCCUUUUAAAAUUUUUUUUUAAACAAAAUUUUCUCGUGUCAGUGUUUCGGGAUUUUUCUAAUUUUUUUUUUAUUAUUAUUUUUUAACAUUAAAUUCUAUAUAUUAUACAUAAACGACCGUCAAUCAAAUCAUCUUGGGUGAUGAUUUAAGUUUUUUUCGAAAAGAAAGUAACAAUUUCCAAAGUAUUUGUUGGGUCUCUUUUUGUAUCGUUGCCGAGAAAGAAUUAACUUUUUUUUUUAAUUAUUAUUAUUUAAUUUGUUCAAUUUGAAAAUACCGCCAAUGACGUACACACUAACUACAAACACAACACCGAAUUUCCGGCCAAUCUCUUGGAAAAUUUUCUUUAAUUGAGUGGAUCUCGCUCAUUUGAAUAAUUUUAUUUUAUUUUUAACAUGGUGCCUUGUUAACCCCCCCCCUCUACACAAGUCAUUGACAGCAACCAGUUACCUCUCUUAUUGACUGUCAAUUCAUUGUUUAGAAACGAGAAAGAAAAUAAUCUUUUCAAAAUCUUUUUGGCACUCGUAAGACAUUUUUUUUCCAAUUUUCUAAAUUUCAAGAUGAUUCAAAUCAACACAGCUCAGGUGGCAUAAUAUAUAGAUUUCCCCGGACAACCGGCUACAGUCAAAUCACACAAAACUUUUGGGUCCAUUUCAUCAAAUUUAAAUUUAAAAAAAAAAGUAAAAAUUAAUUUUGAAAAGAAAACAUGUCAACUUUCUCUCUUAAUGUAAUUAUAAACAAUUUUGUUUUUGUUUUUUAAAACUUUCAAUUAAUAAUAUUGUCUUGAUUAUUAAUAAUAAUAAUCUUUUUUUGGAAUUGCGCGCUGGUGCGUAUGUUUGUUGUAAUUGCACUGCGGAUGAUUGACUCUGCUGUUGCUGCUCUAAUUUGACGCUCUGGGACAUUCAAAUCGAGACGAUGAACGGACGAAUUUAAUUAUUAAAUUCUGUUUUUAAAUAUUAAUUUUGUCGAAAGAAAAGAGGCAAUGUUAACGACUAUGGAAGCACCUCUUUGCUCAUGUCUACCUCAGGAAAUGAUUUUUUCCAAACUAUUGCUCCUCUCUUUUUUAAUUGUGCGCGCGCCUCUCAUUUUUCUUGAAAUUUCAGUUGUUUCACAAGUUUAUUUCAAAUCUCGCGCCAAAUCAAGACAUCGACACUUUCCCCACAUCAUUUCUGUCAAAAGUCCCGCCGUUUUGUUGACUAGCGCUGCCACCUGUGGGUAAGAUGGCGAACUGGUCAUUCAAAAAGACAAUUUAUUUUAUUUGAAUUCAUCAAAACCCAUCAUACUAUAAAGCAAAUCCAGUUAAUCAGUUCAACCUUUUUCUUUAAUUUCCCCCAUUUUUUUGACGUUUUUUUUUUAAACGAAAUUAAAUAAAAGUUGUACAAUUCAAACAAAACCAGCGCUAGACUCAGGGUAAACUUAAAAAAGAAAAAACAUCAACUGUCCGUCGAAACUUGAUAUACCUCCCAUCAAUUCUUGAAGUCAGAUUUUAAUUACACAUAUUAUAAAACGUUGCGAUGAAGAUGGUCCAAGCAUGAUGUAGCACACAGUUCCUAUAUUAGCAGAUUUGUUUCUUCUUUGCCUUUUCUCUCUUAGACCGUUCAACCACACAGCAAAAUGAAAACCAUUCAUAUUAAUAAUUAAUCGCCGCCAUACAAUACAAACCCACUACCACAUAUUUUGAUAACAGUAAUAAUAUCUCCAUCCGAUAUCUCCGAAUCAAUCUACAAGUAUCUAUAAUAAUAAUAAUAAUAAUAACUUUUAUAUUUUUUAAGAAACAUACUAUAUAUUUGACAUAUAUUCAUAUAAGAACUAUCUCAGGUGCAAAACUCAAUCCAAUCUUUUUAUUCAUUAUUAUUUUGUUUUGAUCAUUUUUUUUCGAAUGACCCAUUUCACGCAGACGUUGAAAAUCCACCCCAUCCUAUUUAAUAAGUAAAACAAACAAAAAAUAAUCCCAUCGAAUUCAAAGCGCAAAUUUUUUCAUCCCCAACAAACCCCACAAUUAUUUCGGCAUCAAAACAAAAUGAAGACACACCCUCCCGCCCAAAUGAGAGACGAAGAAGAAGAAGAAAAAAUAAUUUGAUUCAUUUUGAUACGCGAGAAUGAAAGAGAAAAAAAAUACCCCAUAAAAUUCGUACAGAUCAGCAUUUGGUCGUUUCAGACUUGUUUAUACGUAAAGCAGACCAAUGAACUAUUUGUAAUGACAGAAUCAGAAGAAGUUAGAGAACACACACAAAAAAUACCCGAAAUACGCGACCCGUUGAAAAUAAAAUUCCUUCUCUCUUUUUUUCCCCCUUAAAAACUCCUUCCCUUUUUUCGUUGUGCAUGUGGCGAGUACGUCAAAAAUUAUACCUCUGAUUGUGUCGAGUUGUUGAUGAUGACAACCAAAAUUUGGAAAAAAAAACGAAAAGGUGUGUGUUUUCUUAUGAAUUUCUUUUUUUUUUUAGAUGACUGUGCUACCAUUAUUCACACAUGUUUCGUGUUCUCCCCCCCCCCCAAUUGGACACUCCCAUUUUGUUUGUUUUCUUCUUUUUCAAAAAAUUGUUUUUCAUUUGAAUUUUGAUUGGCUUGAAAAAAAAGGAAAAAAAUGUUUUUUUUUUGUUUUGUUUUCACAAAAUUUCCGACCCGGUUUCACUUAUUUCUCUUUAUUCUGAUUGCGUAACUAAAAAAAAACACAUUGGCGUUUAAAUCCCUCCCCGGUAAACAUGUCUCGGUUCGAAAUUUUUCAAUUUUUUUGGUUUUCCCCCCCUUUUAUUUUAUUAUUUUUUUGCCCAAUUUUUUCACCUAUUUGUUUGUUUAUUUUUUCCUCCAAAUUUCCGGUAGUUAAAAAAAAAAGAAAAAACAAAAGAAAAACAGACUAUGAAAAAAAUUGUCGCUCUUCAAUCGUCUCUCUUUCGCGUCUGCACCUCAUCAAAUUCUCGUUGGAUUUUUCAAUUCGUCUCUUUUGUUAUUUCGUCCUAUUUCCUUCAAUAUUUGUUUUCAUUUUUUUUUGUUUCUUGAUGCGAGAAUUAGAAAAAAACUUUGAAAAAAGAAAAAAAAAGUUUCGACGAAAAACAAACUUGAACGAAUAAAGUUUAAAAACAAAAACAAUUGAAUGAUUCAAAACUACAUGAAUUCGACUGUCGGAAUAUUUUUGCUGUUGAAAAUGUUGAUUGAAUUGUUGGCCAGUUGUUUUCUCCCCCCAAAUUUGUUCUGUUCGGUUUCGGUAGUCGAUACAUUUUUUAAAAUUUUUCAGACAAAAAAGUUUCUUGUUUUUAUUUUUCCCUCUUCAAAAAAUCCACUUUUUCUCUCUCCCUACCCCCCUAUACAAUUUGUAGUUGCUUGACUGUUGACGUAAAAAAAACAAACAAAAAUACACCCUUUUUGAUGUGAAA